Molecule: ribosomal RNA, 497 nt
Filed under: uncultured bacterium
Lineage: Bacteria
Description: partial 16S ribosomal RNA
Rfam family: Bacterial small subunit ribosomal RNA
Source: RNAcentral
GAUGAACGCUGGCGGCGUGCCUAAUACAUGCAAGUCGAGCGAACAGACGAGGAGCUUGCUCCUCUGACGUUAGCGGCGGACGGGUGAGUAACACGUGGAUAACCUACCUAUAAGACUGGGAUAACUUCGGGAAACCGGAGCUAAUACCGGAUAAUAUAUUGAACCGCAUGGUUCAAUAGUGAAAGACGGUUUUGCUGUCACUUAUAGAUGGAUCCGCGCCGCAUUAGCUAGUUGGUAAGGUAACGGCUUACCAAGGCGACGAUGCCUAGCCGACCUGAGAGGGUGAUCGGCCACACUGGAACUGAGACACGGUCCAGACUCCUACGGGAGGCAGCAGUAGGGAAUCUUCCGCAAUGGGCGAAAGCCUGACGGAGCAACGCCGCGUGAGUGAUGAAGGUCUUCGGAUCGUAAAACUCUGUUAUUAGGGAAGAACAAAUGUGUAAGUAACUAUGCACGUCUUGACGGUACCUAAUCAGAAAGCCACGGCUAACUACGUG